AUAUGAGCAUUUUUAAUUGUUGCUAUUUCACAUACCCAUAUCUUGCUUGAAAAUGCAAAUUUCGAAAAAUCGGCAACGCAUCAACACAGAUAAACACGCCAUUCGAUGUCAACGUCACCGGCAACUGUUUCCCGUGCAAGAACACCAAACUGUAGCAGGGGAUAUUCGGUGUGUUUCGGAAGACCUACUCUCACGUCGAGUUUACCUUAGGGGAUAACCCACCCAUUAGGGUCCUGGUUAGCAUCCCGACGGGACUUCGCUCCUCCAAACCGUCUUCUGAUACCUCGGAGGACGAUCUCGACGUGGAAGAGGUCGUCGGGUACGAUCACCGGAAGCACUUCUUCGACAUAGUUCUGGGCCCAGCUAUCCACAAGUUGGUCGCAGGCUGUCGUAGUAGGCGGAAGGGGGCCAGGAACCCGUUUAUUAGUAAGUGGCUAAUAUCCACCCCGCUGACUGACCGAAGUUGGCAUUCGAGGUGGAUCGGUUGACCACCGAAGACCGAACGUUUGGUUGUUAUUUGUUUAACGUGGCGCUCCAUGGGCUGCAGUUGCCACAGGAUGCUGCCCUCACUCUAAUUGGCCAGUACCUAGACCCUUACCACGCUUCAGUGGUAAUUGUUCAAUGCCAUUUUGGCGUUGAAUUUGCAAUGAAGUCGUCGGUGAGGGUGGUGUUGGUGAGCCGUGAGGCAGCCCGGCGGUCGCUCAGUGGGGUCAGGUUUUACCCUGGUAUGGGGGUGUACGACCACCGGUAUUGUACCGCCGAUGGAGUUCGGCAACCCUUUCAACACCUUCUCCCCAUGUGCCGGUACGUGCAAGCGUACAACCCCGCCGUACACAUCCUUCGCCGCGGCCUCAGUGAUACGUCCGUUUUUACGUGGCUGAUGUUAGGCGGUGACAAGUGUCGGCCUAUCGGCAAUUGUACCGCCCAAAUAAUCACCGCGUUCAUGGAGUUCCUGCAGGUCGCGGUGCGGGGCUCAGGCGUCCGUUUCGAGUGUGCGGUCAGUGGAGACAA
Long non-coding RNA from Acyrthosiphon pisum (pea aphid), 1011 nucleotides. RefSeq lists it as uncharacterized. The transcript is spliced from 4 exons. The record is from RefSeq and is a predicted model, not a curated record. Lineage: Eukaryota; Metazoa; Arthropoda; Insecta; Hemiptera; Aphididae.